This 1199-nucleotide ribosomal RNA is filed under the name Phoxichilidium femoratum. RNAcentral describes it as "bacterial SSU rRNA". It matches the Rfam family "Eukaryotic small subunit ribosomal RNA", at positions 605 to 1824 of the family's 1831-position model. The record is from RNAcentral. Lineage: Eukaryota; Metazoa; Arthropoda; Pycnogonida; Pantopoda; Phoxichilidiidae.
AUUAAAGUUGUUGCGGUUAAAAAGCUCGUAGUUGGAUUUCUGUUCCAGACUGAUGGUCCACCGGUCGGUGCCGACUGUCAGGCCUGAACAUCCCGUCGGUUUUUUACUUUCCCGCGGUGCUCUUCAGUGAGUGUCGCGGGAGGCCGACAAGUUUACUUUGAAAAAAUUAGAGUGCUCAAAGCAGGCGGUCAGCCUGAAUAAUGGUGCAUGGAAUGAUGGAAAAGGACCUCGGUUCUAUUUUGUUGGUUUUCGCAACUCGAGGUAAUGAUUAAGAGGGACAGACGGAGGCAUUCGUAUUGCGACGCUAGAGGUGAAAUUCUUGGACCGUCGCAAGACGAACUACUGCGAAAGCAUUUGCCGAGAAUGUUUUCAUUAAUCAAGAACGAAAGUUAGAGGUUCGAAGGCGAUCAGAUACCGCCCUAGUUCUAACCAUAAACGAUGCCAACCAGCGAUCCGCCGGAGUUCCUUCUAUGACUCGGCGGGCAGCUUCCGGGAAACCAAAGUCUUUGGGUUCCGGGGGAAGUAUGGUUGCAAAGCUGAAACUUAAAGGAAUUGACGGAAGGGCACCACCAGGAGUGGAGCCUGCGGCUUAAUUUGACUCAACACGGGAAAACUCACCCGGCCCGGACACUGGAAGGAUUGACAGAUUGAGAGCUCUUUCUUGAUUCAAUGGGUGGUGGUGCAUGGCCGUUCUUAGUUGGUGGAGCGAUUUGUCUGGUUAAUUCCGAUAACGAACGAGACUUUGGCCUGCUAAAUAGGAGGCUGAUCUUAGCGUGAGCCUACGACUUCUUAGAGGGACAAGGGGCGUUUAUCCCACGGAAGUUUGACAACAACAGGGGUGCUGUGACCUUAUUAGAUGUGGGGGGCGCCCCCGCGCUACGAUGAAGGAAGAACCAGUGGGGUUUGCCCCUGUCCGUGAAGGACUGGGUAACCCGCUGAACCUCCUUCGUGAUGGGGAUAGGGGCUUGUAAUUGUAUCCCCUUGAACGAGGAAUUCCCAGUAAGCGCGAGUCAUAASACUCUCGUUGAUAACAGUCCCUGCGCUUUGURCACACACGCGCCGUCGCUACUACACGAUUGAGUGAUUUAUAGAGGUCUUCGGACCUGCGCCCGUUGAACGCUUCGGUCCGCAUACGGUUUGCGGGGAAGAUGACCAAACUUGAUCAUUUAGAGGAAGUAAAAAGUCGUAACAAGGUUUCC